GUGACAUCUAGCAGUAUGUAGUGGCAACUCAAUAAAAUCGAAAUGAACCUCUAAGUAUAGUUAAUGUGUGAUUCAAUCCCUCUAUCGUGAGUCCCGACUAGAUGACAGGUUAUGGAUAAAUUAUCAAACCUCAACAUCAGUCAUAUGAUAGAUUUAAUCAGCUCAAGUCCAAUUGUGACUUCUAUAAAAAAAAAUUUUCAUCAAUCACACUGUUGUGGCCACAGACUCUCAGACUUAGCCUUUCAAAUCUCAUAGGACUACUCUCUAUUA
This 270-nucleotide long non-coding RNA is filed under the name Elaeis guineensis (African oil palm). RNAcentral describes it as "long non-coding RNA (EGUI_LNC077134)". Lineage: Eukaryota; Viridiplantae; Streptophyta; Magnoliopsida; Arecales; Arecaceae. The record is from RNAcentral.